UGCUUAAUGAACAUGCAGGUAAACAUUAAAGUGUUUAAAUAAUAUAUCACUCUCAAGGUUGCACAGUGGACAUUAUUAGAGGCAAUUAAGGUAAAUUUUGUUGUGCUAUCAAUGAUUACAUUUUGACUAAUACAAAUUAAAUGUUCAGUUUAAUGAUGAGUCCCUAUCUGGUAGAGCCCUCAGUAGCUUCCCGGGACUAAAGCACUGGUACUAGACCUUCAGAUUGUAUUCAACCCCAAGUGACUUACACACUUACUGGGAACCAGAAUUUGAAUCUGGUUCUCUUAACGAAGUGAGGAGGAAUGGGAAUCGGAGAUAGACUCAAAAUUCUAAGAAAGCUGACCAUUUGAAGUAAAAGAAAGAACUGCAUAAAAGAAAUUAAUAUAAAUAUAGGAAAACCGUGCAAAUAGAGGUUGGCACUGGUGAACAACCCUAGCUCCAAAUCACUCAUCUACCACCAGGUGGUAGCUCAAAUCAACAGAGAAGAAGGGAAUGACAGGAUGACAAAGUGGGACUGGGUAGCUAUAUUGAGAGAUCAACCAGAAAGGGACAUCUUAUUAAAUUCAAAGUCUGAUUUUAGGGUUGGUUACUUCAGUAGCUCCCCAGAGCUUGAUCACAAUGGCUCCUUGGAGAGGAGGGCAGCUUUGUUAAAAGAAUAAACAUAAAAAAGGGCUGACUUGUAGCAUAAAAAAUUCCAUAAAAGCGUAUUGGAGGGGAAGAACACGAAAAGGUAAAAAGGUUGAAAAGGUAAACAGGGUGCUAGCGAAAAACAACCAACAGCAGUCGGUAAACACUGCCACCCAAACAGCAGGCUGGUCAAAUCAGAAAUAGGCCAGUCACGAGCAAAGUGGUAACAGAUAGGACCCCACGAUAAGAUAACAGAUAACAGGUAACAGAUAAGACACAAAAAUCCCACAGAAACUAAUCCAAAAGGCAGAAAGUUAGUCACCACAGACAUGCCACAUAUGCACUCCCAACCAAAAGCAAAAUACUCCAUAGGGAAAGCCUGAUCACCCACAGCACGAAUCUGAGAGGGAGUAGAAAUAAGUGUUGUCCAUACUAUAUACAGAGAAGGAUGUUGGAAGCAUCUAGGGAGGCCAAGUUGAAGCAAACUCAUGACUGGGGACACCUCUUUUCCCCUAGCAGAGCUCCACUGUGAAGGGCACUGAAGCUUGAGUUUGCCCACUUUGAUACAAAGAUCCUCAACCUCCCCCCCUCCCCACACCCAA
Molecule: non-coding RNA, 1229 nt
Organism: Procambarus clarkii (red swamp crayfish)
Lineage: Eukaryota; Metazoa; Arthropoda; Malacostraca; Decapoda; Cambaridae
Source: RefSeq, a predicted model, not a curated record